UUGAAAGAGUGGGUUUUUAGAAUAAUUUGUCACCGUUAAUCGGAUCAGUGAGUAGUUAUAAGGCCCAGCACCGAAUGUGGGUGGCCCAAUGCUGAAGUUGUUGGUUUAGUUUCCAAUAUUUACGAUUUCUGCCCCUAUAGGACGUCUCUUGUCAGCAAAUACCAUCCCUCUCACAUGGCUAUAGGGUUUAGGUAUGGCAGCAAGCUUCCAAUAUAACUAAUGGACCCAGAUCAACCUCAUAUCACCAAAACAAAAUUCUUGCGAAGCAUCAGAUUUGAGAAGAACCUAUCUUUGGCGUCUGCCAAUCUCCUUCAUCACCAUGCGAGCUUAUGCUUAUCUACUCUCAACAGCCGUCCAUCCGAUCUAAUGCUACUGUAAGUUCCUUGUUUCAAUUUAUUGAACCUAAUAACUUCUACUUCAACAAUUUUCAAGGAAUCGAAUUUAAUUCAUAGUACAUACAUAUAAACCCUAACUUUCUCUUCUAGUUUAUUGAAGAACCGGUUCCCUUGGCUGCGUUUGAGUGUUCGCAGGCAAGAGGUUUGUUUUUCAUUUUUCUGAUUUUAUUUUUGUUUAUUUUUUAUUUUGAUAUAGAACCCAGAAAAGUAGCAGAGAUACUAUGCAUAUAGGUCUAUAGCAAGCUUAUAGAACAAUUUCGAUUACAAAAAUUUAUAUAAACUUGGAGUUUUACUUGUUGGUAGAUCCAUAGUUUGAAUUUUAGGUGGAUAUGUUUGUUUUUGCUCAAUAAUUCAGCUGGUUCUUUUUUUUUCUUUUGCAUCUUAGAACGGGAGUUCAAUUAUAUUAAAAUACUCGGUGACUUUCUCUUCAAUUCUCUUUUGUUUUGUUGUUUCACAAGUUAGCAUAAAUGACUAGUUUUCCAUACUUGUUUAUUGUGAAAACACCUGAUGUAUGAAUGAUGGGGUUGUUUCUGCUUGCCACACAUACCACUGUUUGUUUAGAUAUCUUACACAUGGAAUACCAAAUCCCAACAUAGCGGUAGCUACAGGGGGCUGAAGAAACCCAAUUCAAAGUUGUUGCCUUUGGACACUAAAAGGGUCCCCAUCUUUACUUCUUGUUCAUUCCAUGUUGUGGUGUCCUUGGAAGUGCACAGUUGGAAAAGGAGGAUGAGAGGCAAAGCUUUCAGUGACACUUUCUGGGAAUUUGCAGAACAUUGUGGUCUUCAUCAAUGUGAACCGGAAGGAAGGAACAUCUAGCUAAGAAAAAGCUCCAUUUUUGGUGGAACUGGUUAUGAAAGCUCAGAUGUAAUGGUGAUAUAUGAGGUUGAGAGGCAGAGACAUCAACAGCUUGAGAAACUGUAUAGGUCUACUCGUGCAAGAAAGGAUUUUCAUAAAGAAAUUGCACAUGUAGUUGAAGCAUUGACAGCGAUAGGACAUAAGCAUAUUGAAGUAGGUAGAAAUUUAUUAGAUUCAGUGACAUUAUGUGAUAGAAUGAGAAGUGUGUGAAGUUAAUACUUAGUAUUCUAUGAAAUUGGCUUAUCUGACUUAAGUUUGCAAAUAGAAAAGAUGUCAGGCCUUUGAAUUUAAUCUCUUAAUUUAACCUUAUUGAUUAAUUGCAAAUACUAAGAAUUCAAAUCGAUUUUUCUCAUGGUAAAGCUUUUGAAUUUAAUCUUUUAAUUUAACCUUAUUGAUUAAUAUGCAUUUGUGAGUUAUUUGCAAAUGGUAGUCGAACAUGAAUGAUUUCAAGUGUUAUUGUGUUCAGAAUCAUUACUGGGAGGGUUGAGUCUAGGUCAUGCUCACAAUGUUUGGGUGUCCCUGCUCCCAAUGACUUUGAUUCAUUGGCUCAUAACAAGGUAAAUGUACGGGUGGCUUUGUUAGAAGGGAAUUAAUGGAUUCUAUUUUGAAACAGAUUGAGAACCGGGAACGAUCAUUCACGCAAAUAAAUGGAAUGAACAACCUCAAAUUAAAAGGUUGGAAUGUCCAUUUUUUUUUUAUAACUGUGGUUGUUACAAGUUAUGAUUUUUGUUCAUUGAUAUGUAUUUUAGUAUGAAGUCGAUGAAGUGGCAUGUGACAAACUGAAGCUUAAUGACUUUCUGAUCAAACUGUGAUGUACAAAUUAACCUGCUCAAGACCUUGAGACAACAAUAUCGUGCAGUUUUUACUUAUUGAGUUGUACUAGUGAAAGAAACAUCAACGUAUUGACUAGGAAUGUUUACUUAUGGUAGGUAUAGGCUUGUAAGUUGUAAUAGGUUUCUUUUUUAGGUAGUGCAAUAAGUUGUAGUUACAUUUGUAACAAAUUGUAGAUUUUGAUUGAAUGAUGAUGUAUAUGAACAAAUUGGUAGACAUCAUUCAUGUAUUCAACUAUUUACUAUUUUUUGUUUUAUUUUAA
Molecule: long non-coding RNA, 2343 nt
Organism: Rosa chinensis
Lineage: Eukaryota; Viridiplantae; Streptophyta; Magnoliopsida; Rosales; Rosaceae
Exons: 5
Source: RefSeq, a predicted model, not a curated record